RNAcentral lists this ribosomal RNA (301 nucleotides) under uncultured bacterium. Its description in RNAcentral is "partial 16S ribosomal RNA". It matches the Rfam family "Bacterial small subunit ribosomal RNA", at positions 509 to 807 of the family's 1533-position model. The record is from RNAcentral.
CAGUCGCCGCGGGAAUACGAAGGGUGCGAGCGUUAAUCGGAAUUACUGGGCGUAAAGCGUGCGCAGGCGGUUUCGUAAGACAGAUGUGAAAUCCCCGGGCUUAACCUGGGAACUGCAUUUGUGACUGCGAGGCUAGAGUGUGUCAGAGGGGGGUGGAAUUCCACGUGUAGCAGUGAAAUGCGUAGAUAUGUGGAGGAACACCGAUGGCGAAGGCAGCCCCCUGGGAUAACACUGACGCUCAUGCACGAAAGCGUGGGGAGCAAACAGGAUUAGAUACCCCGGUAGUCCCUGUCUCUUAUAC